GGCUCGGUAGUUCAGUGGUAGAACGCGGCUCUCAUGAGGCCGAGGCCGGGAGUUCAAUCCUCCCCCGAGCCA
Molecule: transfer RNA, 72 nt
Filed under: archaeon
Lineage: Archaea
Description: tRNA-Met
Rfam family: tRNA
About the family: Transfer RNA (tRNA) molecules are approximately 80 nucleotides in length. Their secondary structure includes four short double-helical elements and three loops (D, anti-codon, and T loops).
Source: RNAcentral